UGUGCCUUGAGGCGUGGCUUCCGGAGCUAACGCGUUAAGUCGACCGCCUGGGGAGUACGGCCGCAAGGUUAAAACUCAAAUGAAUUGACGGGGGCCCGCACAAGCGGUGGAGCAUGUGGUUUAAUUCGAUGCAACGCGAAGAACCUUACCUACUCUUGACAUCCAGAGAACUUAGCAGAGAUGCUUUGGUGCCUUCGGGAACUCUGAGACAGGUGCUGCAUGGCUGUCGUCAGCUCGUGUUGUGAAAUGUUGGGUUAAGUCCCGCAACGAGCGCAACCCUUAUCCUUUGUUGCCAGCGGUUAGGCCGGGAACUCAAAGGAGACUGCCAGUGAUAAACUGGAGGAAGGUGGGGAUGACGUCAAGUCAUCAUGGCCCUUACGAGUAGGGCUACACACGUGCUACAAUGGCGCAUACAAAGAGAAGCGACCUCGCGAGAGCAAGCGGACCUCAUAAAGUGCGUCGUAGUCCGGAUUGGAGUCUGCAACUCGACUCCAUGAAGUCGGAAUCGCUAGUAAUCGUAGAUCAGAAUGCUACGGUGAAUACGUUCCCGGGCCUUGCACUCCCCGCCCCGUCAA
This 575-nucleotide ribosomal RNA is filed under the name Enterobacterales bacterium. RNAcentral's name for it is "bacterial SSU rRNA". It matches the Rfam family "Bacterial small subunit ribosomal RNA", at positions 825 to 1400 of the family's 1533-position model. Lineage: Bacteria; Pseudomonadati; Pseudomonadota; Gammaproteobacteria; Enterobacterales. The record is from RNAcentral.